Molecule: ribosomal RNA, 297 nt
Filed under: Lactobacillus delbrueckii subsp. bulgaricus
Lineage: Bacteria; Bacillati; Bacillota; Bacilli; Lactobacillales; Lactobacillaceae
Description: partial 23S ribosomal RNA
Rfam family: Bacterial large subunit ribosomal RNA
Source: RNAcentral
ACUUCAGAGGAUAGCAGAAGCGUUUGGGAAAGCGCGCCAGAGAGGGUGAGAGCCCCGUAAGCGAAAUCCAAAGGAGGCCUAUCAGUAUCCUGAGUAGGGCGGGACACGUGAAAUCCCGUUUGAAUCCGCGAGGACCAUCUCGCAAGGCUAAAUACUAACCAGUGACCGAUAGUGAACCAGUACCGUGAGGGAAAGGUGAAAAGAACCCCGGGAGGGGAGUGAAAGAGAACCUGAAACCGUGUGCCUACAAGUAGUCAGAGCCCGUUAACGGGUAAUGGCGUGCCUUUUGUAGAAUGA